CUCCCCGGAAAAUUGUUUAUGUUGCUAGUCACGUGACACGAGGGUAGCCAUGGCGAUCUGUGGUUGGUUGCCAGGAGAAGGAGAAGCAGAGCAGCUAAGGAUGCUAAAGAAGCUGAGCUUAGUAAAUGUAGACAGUAAGUGCUUGUCUAAUAUUUUUUUCUGCUUGAGUAACUGUGAUUAAAAAAGAAGUAUCAAAUAUAAAACACAAAUCAUUUUAAUUUAUUUUUUAUGGGAGCUUUACCCCAUGCAUUUGUGAAAUAUUGCAUUACGAGUCACUCUGAGGUCUUCAAGUGCAAUUUCUUUUAGUACUGUCACAACCAAAAUACUAAACAAAUCCUAACAAAAGCCAUUAAAAACUUAAAAUUGGUUGGUUCCAUAAAAAUACAUGAGAAAUUUUAAGUAUUGGGUCAUUUUGGUACCAGUGAUCCACUAAUGAAGGUCAAGCUUUUUAUUAAAAGACACAAUUUUUGCUUUGUGUUUUUAUAAAGCCAGCAGAUUUGAAAGUUCUUCAGAGACAAAAACGGCUAAAUAAGGAGCCUAACACAGGAAACAUGCCUCAAGAUAUAGAUUCUCAGCCAGGAAGGGUACAGCUGCCAUCAGAUAGCCAGGAAGUGCAGAUGCAGUCCUUCAGCAGUUGGAUACACUCUGCAGAAAUACAGACGAACCAACGGUUUGGAAGACAAACCACGGUCUGGGUGUUUAAGGGUUUCUUCAGCAAGAAAUGUGCAGGAAAACCGCCGAAUGACAUCACAGGAAAUGUUCCCUCUAAUUUUUCAUGAGUCUGAGCAAACACACAAACUCCCUGAGCGUCCCUUGGACCACUGUGAGCAACAUCAGACGUGUGCACUGUGGUCACACCAGCAUCACAUCCAUUCAAGUUACAUGGUUCAUUAAAAGAAUCAAAUUACAGCAUUUACAUUUCUGUUAAAACACUUUGUCAACAGGAGCCAGUUGAAGGCUGCAGUGAUUUUAGUGACACUACAAUGUAUAAGAGUGAAGUUAUUGAAUAUUUGUCUCUCUUUACUGUUGCAGUGAUUUUGCAAAUUGCAGACGGACCCUGUUCACUCCAUAAACACCAAUGUUAUUCCUGUAGCUUGAAAGACAGCUACUUUUGAUAAAACUGGGCUUGUAGCACAUUGUCUGCCUUGCAACAAUGGGAAAGAGGCACCGUUUAUGUUUUGACAACCUAUAUCUAAUGAGUUAUUGAUGCUGGAAGUCUGAAUCUGUGAAUAUCUUUCCAACUUUACUGAACUUGGGGCCACUACCACCUAAGGAGUGAUAUAUUUAAUUUUGAAAAAAGCAUUUAGCCAUACUUAAAGCUUUAAGUGCUUUAUUAACACGGAACUAAAAAUUUUGUAUUGUUUUAUUAUCACAGAUUCUGUCUGAAAAGAGGUGGCAUCAUUUUAAACAGUGAAAUCAAACUAACAAAAUGUAAUGACCAACCAGUGAGCAAUACUGGAUUCUGCAAAAACAUAAACAACUUUUUUUAAAAUCUAAAUCUUAUCUUAACACAGUUAAUGUAUUAACUUAUUUUUGUGUGUAUGCAUGUAUUUAUUGAUUUAUUUAAUACUGUUAACAUAUCAGAGUUCUGAGUGAAUUUUUCUUAAGAUAGGCAAAGGCCAUUUAUUGAUUACAUAUAGGCUAUUAAAUGUUUAUUAAAAACUAAAAAGCAUUUAAAAAAAAAACAACUUAGGCAUUUAUUGAGCCACUAAAAUACUGUAGAGUACAGACCACAUCAGCAUGAUUAUAAGCAUCCUCUGGUAAAUGAACAACCAGAUACUGAUGUCUCUCACCAUAUGGACUUCAGGAGAUGACUGGGGGAUGAUAAACUGUGACCUACUGGUUGGGUUCUCUCUUAGGGGCUUUCGACCAAAGAGCACCAGGUGCUAGGUUGGUUCAAAGUUGAGAGCCAGUGCUUUUUUGGUUCAAAUCUCGUGCAGCCCCAGAACGGGUUUCCAUUCAGAAGGAGCAAAGUUGGAGCUGCGUCAUUGCGCCACCACAAAACGUGUGUACGUCACUGCGUACGUAGCCGUUCAACAGCGUUCACGCCGUACGGAAACCCACACAACAACAAUGGAGGACUUCAUUGGAGUGGUGUUCAUGGCUUUGCUAGUGUGUCUCGCCAUCGCUGAACAGCAAAACUUUCUGUUAGGGCUUACCCAUCGGCGUCGCCGUUCCAAUGCCCGGCGAUCACGUUUGAGAAGAAAGAUGUUUUUAGAUGUCACCCCGCCCUCUGCCCGUGACGUGCUCGGCUCUCAACUCUGGCCACCUCUGGCCCAGCAACGAGUUGGUGCCCGAAACGGCCCCAGUUUUUGGAGCCCGGAGCCGCAGCUCCGGUGGUGGAAACACAAAAAACCGGCGCCAAGUCGGGCGCCGGCUCCAACUCCGAACGGGCUCCACCCCGGUCGAAGAGAGAACUCUGUUCUCAUGUUUCUUACAUGUUUGUCCCCUGACAGCCGGGUCCUAAUGUUUUUUGAGCAACACACCAUACUAUGACGUUUUUACAAUGAUGGUUCUACUAUGGAACCAGUUUGACUUGUUCAGGUGUUCUUUGUGUGAAGACUCAGAGAUUUCAGGUAUCAGAAAGUGGUUUUCAACUUUCUUUGUUAACUUUCUGCUUCAACUUUAAGUUAAAUUUCCUUCACUAAGCCAGCCCUCUGGACUUCCAGGAAGCUGUGUUCCUAUUGGCUGUCCAGGUGGCUGCUUGGUGUUAUCAGGAACACCUGAGCAGCUCAGUGUCUUCCUGCUUUAUUUAGCUGCAGACAAACAUUUCCUCUGCUUUGCUUCACCACUGAACUGGGUUUGGCUCCGUUGCUUUAGUUUCUUCUUUAGGCGUUGGCUUGCAGCUUCCAGCAGUAAAAUCAUCUUUAAUGUGUUUCUUGGUGUGUUUUAGGGCUUUGUACUGGAUAGUUGUCUUGGUAAAUGAGGUUCUUUAGCCACAGUUAGCACAUGGUGCUAAUGUGUGCAGUGAUUAAUAGAUUUGGUGCAGCUGUGUCUUUAUCUUGGCUGUAGUGAGUCUUCAGAGGUUUUUGGUCAGACACAUUCUGAAUUCUUGUUUGUGAACCAGCGUUGGUUGUCCAGAAGGUAAGAGUUCCUGUCCUGAUUCUCUGUUCUCAGAGGUUCUCUGGUAGGCUGCAGGAGACUUUAGCAUUUGUGUUGUGCUAGUUUGGUUUUUGUACAGUUUCAUUUGGACAACUAUCUUGAGGCUCCUCCAUGUGGUUUAGUGAGGUUUUCUGGAACAGUUCUACAUAGCAACCUGCAGCAGAAGAGACUUUGAGAGUUUUUAGGAAGUUCUGGAGACCAGACUUUAGAGCAGCAGAAACAUUUGUCAGCAGUUUGAGCAGGAGAAGGUGAGCUUCAGAGUAGAAAUGAGACAGAAACCUUCUUGACCCGUGUGGUGAGGUCCUGUACCAAGAGUUUGAGCAGGUUGUAAAGAGUCUGUAGUUCUUUGGUCUGAAAGCACAAGAAGAGUCGACUCAUUAAAGGAGAAAACAGGAGAUAUUGUUGGUUCUUCUGUCGCUCUGCAGUUUCCUUAGACUGAAUAUCAAGUUUAUAUUUUAAAUGAUUUCCCAUGUGAGCCCAAGAAGACUUCAAUAAACUCCCUCCAUCCCCUGGACACAACAGAUUUUAUUACCAUGUUAAAUCUUUUUUUUUUAAAUGUUUUUGAGUUUUAAUCAUAGUUUUAGCAUAGUUUUUUUCUCAUUGCUUGUUUAGUUUUCUCAUCUGUGUAAAAGGCGCUAAACAAAUAAAGUUGAAUUGAUAAACUGAA
This is a long non-coding RNA of Amphiprion ocellaris (clown anemonefish), 3769 nucleotides long. RefSeq lists it as uncharacterized. The transcript is spliced from 2 exons. The record is from RefSeq and is a predicted model, not a curated record. NCBI's taxonomy places the organism in Eukaryota, Metazoa, Chordata, Actinopteri, Pomacentridae.